Molecule: non-coding RNA, 1777 nt
Organism: Oncorhynchus mykiss (rainbow trout)
Lineage: Eukaryota; Metazoa; Chordata; Actinopteri; Salmoniformes; Salmonidae
Source: RefSeq, a predicted model, not a curated record
AGUGCUUUGGAAAGAGGGCUGAACCUCACACACAUAAUCAGCGCAGCUUCUCAAUGGGGGGACGGAGCCAAGAGGAGACAGAACUGUCGUUCCGCUGGAGCUGAUCUCAGUCUGUGUGUGAGAAGUGAGGAGGCAAAUUAACGUUCUGCCGUCACGAGAGGGAUUUUACCUUCACAGUACUGAUCUAAAGGUGAUAUGAGCAGCCUUCCAUCUUGUAAACACUGACUAGUUUGUAACAGCGUGUCAUUCCUGUGAGCUGAGGUGGUUUCUGGUGACCGCAUUCCCAGGAUUUCAGACGGACAGAGAGAGUCGAGGGGGGCAAGCGGACGAGGCAGAAACAACAGAGCUUCUCCCCCUCUUAUCCUGCAGCGUUGUUCUUCUUUACACCUGGAACUUUGUUGGGAAUCCCUGGCGUUCAGACUAUGGAUGGAUUUAAGACAGCAUUGUGAGUCUGUUGAACAGACGGUGAUACUGACAGCAGGGCACCCUUUCUUUUGACCAGACAGACCACUCAGCCACCCUCCCAGUCUGCCCUGCCAUGUCCUUGUUCCUGGGCCUGUGGAUUAGCCUUGGCUUCCUGCUGCUGUGCCAGGCCACGCUGUACGAGACCCUCCAGCAGCACCACGUGCCCCGGCCCGGACGCAAUGCCAUCCAGAUCCUGGAAGGAGGGACGUGUGAGGUGAUCGCAGCCCACCGGUGCUGUAAUAAGAACCGUAUCGAGGAGCGCUCCCAGACCGUCAAGUGCUCCUGUCUACCGGGGAAAGUGGCCGGGACGACACGCAACAAACCCUCUUGUGUGGACGCAUCCAUUGUGAUUGGGAAGUGGUGGUGUGAGAUGGAGCCCUGUCUGGAGGGAGAGGAGUGUAAGACUCUGCCUGAUAACUCUGGAUGGAUGUGCUCCUCUGGGAACAAGAUCAAGACCACAAGGAACACUGCGCCAUACUCACCUUUUUAGCUCUGGAAGCAAAAUGCAGAGGAUGCUUCAACAGAAACUGAGCUGCAUUCUUGCUUCUGUAAAGAGAGGGAGCCCUGCUUGCCUGUUCUGUAUCAGCAUCAGACAAGGCAGGCCUUUUGUAUGAGGAAGGGAAGUGGGGAGAGACCCCACCAAAACACAAGCCCAGCAUAGAGCCACAUUACCUGCUCCACUGGCUAAAUAGAUCAAUCCAUUUCUGCUCCCACCAUACAAUUAUGUUGUUGACAAUUACAAGUAAAAAGGAGAGAGCAAAAGAAAGUGAAAUGAGAAUUCUCAUCAUUCUGCCUACCUGCCCCUUUUGUUAAAAUUAUCUAGUUAUUUGAAGCCUUCAAUAUUAUCAAGAAUCCCUACCAGACCAGAUAGUUAUAAGUCCAUUAGCCCAGGACUUUGGGAGUUUCCUAGCUGUUGCCUCAGUAUUCAGAUUCAGUAUUUACAUUGCUGUUUCAAGAGCCACAUGUUGUCUAUUAGAAGUAACAGAAGGCACCUUUUCGAGCCAGUCACAACAGCAGGAUAUAUCCCAUCUGGGAGGCUUGAUCAGAGCAAAGUUACCUGCCAGCAGAUGCAUCACCAUCAAAUGUGUUGAAUGGGAAGGGAAAUCAUAAAACAAUCAAUCGGAAAACACUCCACACAAGAAAUGAUCAUCACCAAGCACUCAUGUUUUCCACGUCCCAUAUUUGUUUGGUAACACUUUACAUGAACUAUCCAUCCACAUGGUUCAUGUAAUGUGAACGGUACUACUUUCUUCUACUCUUUUUGUUCUCUACCCAUUGUCAAUGUCACAUUAAAUUGAUCUUGAUAUAUGUU